This 71-nucleotide transfer RNA is filed under the name Spirosoma sp. It matches the Rfam family "tRNA". Rfam says of the family: Transfer RNA (tRNA) molecules are approximately 80 nucleotides in length. Their secondary structure includes four short double-helical elements and three loops (D, anti-codon, and T loops). The record is from Rfam by way of RNAcentral. Lineage: Bacteria; Pseudomonadati; Bacteroidota; Cytophagia; Cytophagales; Cytophagaceae.
GUCCGGUAUGCUCAAUGGAUGGGCGUUGGAUUGCAAACCCAAUGUAGUUAGUUCGAUUCUAACACUGGACU